UGGGGAAUCUUGGACAAUGGGCGCAAGCCUGAUCCAGCCAUGCCGCGUGGAUGAUGAAGGCCUUAGGGUUGUAAAAUCCUUUCGUUGGGGACGAUAAUGACGGUACCCAAAGAAGAAGCUCCGGCUAACUUCGUGCCAGCAGCCGCGGUAAUACGAAGGGGGCUAGCGUUGUUCGGAUUUACUGGGCGUAAAGCGCGUGUAGGCGGAUUUGUAAGUUGGGGGUGAAAUCCCGAGGCUCAACCUCGGAACUGCCUCCAAAACUACAAGUCUGGACCUAAGUAGAGGCAAGUGGAAUUGCGAGUGUAGAGGUGAAAUUCGUAGAUAUUCGCAGGAACACCAGUGGCGAAGGCGACUUGCUGGACUUAUGGUGACGCUGAGACGCGAAAGCGUGGGGAGCAAACAGGAUUAGAUACCCGUGUAGUCCCUGAGCGGGCUGGCAAGGCGCAU
This 447-nucleotide ribosomal RNA is filed under the name uncultured bacterium. Its description in RNAcentral is "bacterial SSU rRNA". It matches the Rfam family "Bacterial small subunit ribosomal RNA", at positions 355 to 825 of the family's 1533-position model. The record is from RNAcentral.